RNAcentral lists this ribosomal RNA (465 nucleotides) under uncultured bacterium. Its description in RNAcentral is "bacterial SSU rRNA". It matches the Rfam family "Bacterial small subunit ribosomal RNA", at positions 338 to 795 of the family's 1533-position model. The record is from RNAcentral.
CCUACGGGUGGCUGCAGUGGGGAAUAUUGGACAAUGGGCGCAAGCCUGAUCCAGCCAUGCCGCGUGUGUGAAGAAGGCCUUCGGGUUGUAAAGCACUUUUGUCCGGAAAGAAAAGCUUCGGGUUAAUACCCCGGGGUUCUGACGGUACCGGAAGAAUAAGCACCGGCUAACUUCGUGCCAGCAGCCGCGGUAAUACGAAGGGUGCAAGCGUUACUCGGAAUUACUGGGCGUAAAGCGUGCGUAGGUGGUUUGUUAAGUCUGAUGUGAAAGCCCUGGGCUCAACCUGGGAAUUGCAUUGGAUACUGGCAGGCUAGAGUGCGGUAGAGGAUGGCGGAAUUCCCGGUGUAGCAGUGAAAUGCGUAGAGAUCGGGAGGAACAUCUGUGGCGAAGGCGGCCAUCUGGACCAGCACUGACACUGAGGCACGAAAGCGUGGGGAGCAAACAGGAUUAGAUACCCCAGUAGUC